Molecule: ribosomal RNA, 513 nt
Filed under: uncultured bacterium
Lineage: Bacteria
Description: partial 16S ribosomal RNA
Rfam family: Bacterial small subunit ribosomal RNA
Source: RNAcentral
GAUGAACGCUGGCGGCGUGCCUAAUACAUGCAAGUCGAGCGAACAGAUAAGGAGCUUGCUCCUUUGACGUUAGCGGCGGACGGGUGAGUAACACGUGGGUAACCUACCUAUAAGACUGGAAUAACUCCGGGAAACCGGGGCUAAUGCCGGAUAAUAUUUAGAACCGCAUGGUUCUAAAGUGAAAGAUGGUUUUACUAUCACUUAUAGAUGGACCCGCGCCGUAUUAGCUAGUUGGUGGGGUAAUGGCUUACCAAGGCAACGAUACGUAGCCGACCUGAGAGGGUGAUCGGCCACACUGGAACUGAGACACGGUCCAGACUACUACGGGAGGCAGCAGUAGGGAGUCUUCCGCAAUGGGCGAAAGCCUGACGGAGCAACGCCGCGUGGGUGAUGAAGGUCUUCGGAUCGUAAAACUCUGUUAUUAGGGAAGAACAAAUGUGUAAGUAACUGUGCACGUCUUGACGGUACCUAAUCAGAAAGCCACGGCUAACUACGUGCCAGCCGCCGCCGUAA